UACACUGAAUGUGGAGGACAAAAAAUUUUUCUUAAAGGAUAAAAUCAUGAGGCCCACCGAGCCAUGAGCCCUUGGCUACAACAAGCCUCAUCCGGAUGUGGCUCAUACCUAGGGGUGCAAGUGGGUCGAUUCGGGUCGGGUCAUGAGUGAUCUCGAUCCAAUCCGAUUUUUUGAUCGAAUAUGCAUAUUGGAUCUAAACCCAGCCCAAUAAAAGAUCGAAUCAGAUUGGAUCAGAUCCAUGAUUAAAUUUUUUGACCCAACAGAUCAUUCGGAUCGGAUCAAAUCCAUGAUCAAAUUUUUUGACCUAAUAGAUCAUUC
RNAcentral lists this long non-coding RNA (318 nucleotides) under Elaeis guineensis (African oil palm). Its description in RNAcentral is "long non-coding RNA (EGUI_LNC025305)". The record is from RNAcentral. Lineage: Eukaryota; Viridiplantae; Streptophyta; Magnoliopsida; Arecales; Arecaceae.